Molecule: microRNA, 21 nt
Filed under: Solanum tuberosum (potato)
Lineage: Eukaryota; Viridiplantae; Streptophyta; Magnoliopsida; Solanales; Solanaceae
Description: stu-miR8046-5p
Source: miRBase by way of RNAcentral
UAUGAUCGAAGUUUCAAUGAC